AGUUCCAGGUUGACCUCUGCCUUGCUGCUAGAACCUGUUACUUGUAAAAUGAGAACACAAGCUAUCUUAUUUGUCUCUGUUAUUUUUGGCUUAUGGAUCUUCCUCUGCUUUUUUGUCUUAAGAUCUGUAAGUCAGCUACUGCCUGUACUUUUCCAAUUGAGGCUGAACCUCCAGCAAGAAGGGUGCCUGUAUUUGGAAAACUCAAUCCUGUGAAUUUUUCUCUGACGCCCCUUGGGAAAGUCCAUCUUUCCUCAUGGUAAGGAUGAUCUUCAAGGAAGACCUUCAGACUCUGGGCUUCAUCAGACAACGCAGACUAGAAACAAGUGUCAGGAGAACUGGAAGAGAGAAGGGAAGGCAGUCUUCUUAAUGGUGCCAAAAUUGCAAGGCUGCUCAGUAACGUGCAUUUAAUCCCUUGGGCUGACACUGAAGACAGAGGUGGUGAAGGGAUCCAAAAGGAUGAUUUUGUGCAUCCAUGUGUUCCAAGUUUCUUACCCUGUUUUCUCAGAGUGACAACAUGAAACAUUCUGCCUUGGCCUGCCAGAACAGGUCAGAACAUUGCCCCCUGUGUUUUAUGAAUUAUUUUUAAUGAAUGCCAC
This is a long non-coding RNA of Serinus canaria (Common canary), 596 nucleotides long. RefSeq lists it as uncharacterized. The record is from RefSeq and is a predicted model, not a curated record. The transcript has 3 exons. NCBI's taxonomy places the organism in Eukaryota, Metazoa, Chordata, Aves, Passeriformes, Fringillidae.